Molecule: long non-coding RNA, 291 nt
Filed under: Elaeis guineensis (African oil palm)
Lineage: Eukaryota; Viridiplantae; Streptophyta; Magnoliopsida; Arecales; Arecaceae
Description: long non-coding RNA (EGUI_LNC039680)
Source: RNAcentral
UAUCAUCCUCAUUUUUACCACAAACUGGUGUGUAGGUGGGAGGAGUCCCACAGUCCGAAAGAGGUGCAUAGGCCCCAUGGUGUGUGCCAAUAUUACGAUCAAAGACUCAUGGCUUGGCACGUUAGGUAUUAUUCGUUCUGGUCUAUGAGUCUCACGAUUUUGUCCUUUUAAAAGCGCCUCAUGUGAGAGAGAGUUUCAACCCAUAUAAGUCAUACAUAGCCCUUGGGGUAAUCUGCCCCACAAUCUGAAGGAGGUGUAUAGGUCCUACAGUGCGUAUCAAUGUUGCGGUCA